This 508-nucleotide ribosomal RNA is filed under the name uncultured soil bacterium. Its description in RNAcentral is "bacterial SSU rRNA". It matches the Rfam family "Bacterial small subunit ribosomal RNA", at positions 26 to 513 of the family's 1533-position model. The record is from RNAcentral.
AGAAUGAACGCUGGCGGCGUGCUUAACACAUGCAAGUCGAGCGAGGCCUGGGGGGCAACUCCCAGAGUCGAGCGGCGGACGGGUGAGUAACACGUGGGUAACCUGCCCGGAAGUGGGGAAUACCUCGGGGAAACUCGAGCUAAUACCGCAUGACAUCUUUGGGACGAAAGUCCUGACGAUCAAAGCGGGGUCGCAAGAUCUCGCGCUACCGGAUGGGCCCGCGCCCGAUUAGCUAGUUGGUGAGGUAACGGCUCACCAAGGCUUCGAUCGGUAACCGGCCUGAGAGGGCGAGUCGGUCGACACCGGAACUGAGACACGGUCCGGACUCCUACGGGAGGCAGCAGUGGGGAAUCUUGCGCAAUGGGCGAAAGCCUGACGCAGCAACGCCGCGUGGAGGAUGAAGGCCCUUGGUUGUAAACUCCUGUCGGCUGGAAGAAGUCGUGCGGUGCUCAUACCACCGUGCGUUGACUGUACCAGCAAAGGACGCCCCGCUAACUCUGUGCCAGCA